UUCUUGCAUUAGGAGGUUUGGAUGUGGCUGAGUAAGCAACCUUAAUGUUUGGAAGCAAAAGGGAGCAAGAAGAAAGCUUAAGGAUACAAGGU
Molecule: long non-coding RNA, 92 nt
Organism: Neltuma alba
Lineage: Eukaryota; Viridiplantae; Streptophyta; Magnoliopsida; Fabales; Fabaceae
Exons: 3
Source: RefSeq, a predicted model, not a curated record